UGAAACCGUUUAGGGGUAAACCUGAGAAACCCGAAAGGUCGAAGGAAGAAAUUCAAUCGCGUUUCGUUGGUUGGCACUAAGUAGAUUGUGUGACGGAUAUUUUUUCGAAAAUGUCUGCACCGUUUAUUUAUGUGAACUGGCUGCGAACGUGUGCACUUUUCUUCUGGUAGGACGUCGCGAUUCGUUGAGCAUCGGUCUAAGACAUAUGGUGGAGACCAUUUACUCUCUAUACUUUUGUAUAGGGUUUAACUGGACCCGUAUUGUUCCGGCCGAUACGUUUCGACGAUAUAAUUAAUGAUUGUAAAUCGCUGCUUUUUAUUAGCGUUCAUAAUUUCAGCAAGCACUUUAGUUUUGUGUUGAUUAUCGGACCUAGUGCCGGUACCGACCUCUAAAGUCUGUUAGUUGUUAUUUUCUUGAACAGAUUUAUAAUUCAUCAGCGACGCUUUAGUUUUGGGUAAUUUCAGGACCCGUCUUGAAACACGGACCAAGGAGUCUAGCAUGUUCGCAAGUCAAUGGGAUUUUGAUUAAACCCAAAGGCAUAAUGAAAGUGACGAAUUUGUUUUUCACAAACAAAUUCAAGGGAAGACGUAUAUAUAGUAAAAUGUAUAUUCUGCAUUCCCGGGGCGUCUCAUUCUCAUUGCGAGAGCAGAGGCGCACCAUAAGCGAAUACGCUGGGACCCGAAAGAUGGUGAACUAUGCCUGGUCAGGACGAA
This 713-nucleotide ribosomal RNA is filed under the name Coriacephilus coriaceus. RNAcentral describes it as "partial large subunit ribosomal RNA". It matches the Rfam family "Eukaryotic large subunit ribosomal RNA", at positions 400 to 850 of the family's 3401-position model. The record is from RNAcentral. Lineage: Eukaryota; Metazoa; Arthropoda; Insecta; Coleoptera; Curculionidae.